Molecule: long non-coding RNA, 725 nt
Organism: Notolabrus celidotus (New Zealand spotty)
Lineage: Eukaryota; Metazoa; Chordata; Actinopteri; Labriformes; Labridae
Exons: 3
Source: RefSeq, a predicted model, not a curated record
AAGUGACGUACUAUAAGUACUUGGAUUCCAAGCCGCUGAUUGGUUGAUAGUUAUGACAGGGUGCUGUGUUACUUCCUGGUUGGGACGCUGAGGGGAGCUGUUGCUGUGUGGUGUUUAAACGGUGACAGGGGUAACCAGAGGCCAGAUCCCGGAGCGGACGGGUCUCCCAUAUUAAGACAAUGAGAUGGAAAGACCAUAUUAAGACAGAGCUGAGACGCGGACUGCUCGGUGAAGGUCUGACCUGUGGGGCAGCUUUAUUUACUGGAGAUAAAGAGUUCCAGGCAAAGGGGGACAUUAAGCGCGCCGUAGUUAAGCUGCCGCAGCUUCUUCCUGCUUCCUUCUGCAUCAUGAUGGAAAAUAAAGUCUGUCUGAGUCAAAAUAUCACUGAAGGACUUUGAGUUUGAGCGACACCUUCAUGUUUAUAUCGACUUCACGUCUUAAGGAGAUUUUCUGAGACCGAGCAAGACGACGUUAUUUAUCUUUACGUCUCUCCAACAAGAAAACAGGUGCAGACAUCAGACGGAUGUCAGUGUACAACCACAUCACAGAAGCUGCAGAGCGAUAUUUAAGAGAGAGAGGAUCACCACAGAGCUGAGGAUGAAGCUCUCUGAAGAUGUCUCCUUCCUCUGAGUCAUGGUUUCAGAUCACACUGGUGCAGCAGUGCAGCUUUAAUUUAUAUAAUGAAUCUCAAAACUAAGAUCAUAAAGUAUAUGAUUCAUAAUCAA